Molecule: ribosomal RNA, 497 nt
Filed under: uncultured bacterium
Lineage: Bacteria
Description: partial 16S ribosomal RNA
Rfam family: Bacterial small subunit ribosomal RNA
Source: RNAcentral
GACGAACGCUGGCGGCGUGCCUAAUACAUGCAAGUUGAGCGCUGAAGGUUGGUACUUGUCCCAACUGGCUGAGCAGCGAACGGGUGAGUAACGCGUGGGGAAUCUGCCUUUGAGCGGGGGACGACAUUUGGAAACGAAUGCUAAUACCGCAUAAAAACUUUAAACACAAGUUUUAAGUUUGAAAGAUGCAAUUGCAUCACUCAAAGAUGAUCCCGCGUUGUAUUAGCUAGUUGGUGAGGUAAAGGCUCACCAAGGCGAUGAUACAUAGCCGACCUGAGAGGGUGAUCGGCCACAUUGGGACUGAGACACGGCCCAAACUCCUACGGGAGGCAGCAGUAGGGAAUCUUCGGCAAUGGACGAAAGUCUGACCGAGCAACGCCGCGUGAGUGAAGAAGGUUGUCGGAUCGUAAAACUCUGUUGGUAGAGAAGAACGUUGGUGAGAGUGGAAAGCUCAUCAAGUGACGGUAACUACCCAGAAAGGGACGGCUAACUACGUG